UACAGAGGUCUCGAGCGUUGUUCGGAUUCAUUGGGCGUAAAGGGUGCGUAGGUGGCGUCGUAAGUCAGGUGUGAAAUCUCGGGGCUCAACCCCGAAACUGCACUUGAUACUGCGAUGCUUGAGUACUGGAGAGGAGAUUGGAAUUUACGGUGUAGCAGUGAAAUGCGUAGAUAUCGUAAGGAAGACCAGUGGCGAAGGCGAAUCUCUGGACAGUUACUGACACUGAGGCACGAAGGCCAGGGGAGCAAACGGG
Molecule: ribosomal RNA, 253 nt
Filed under: uncultured bacterium
Lineage: Bacteria
Description: partial 16S ribosomal RNA
Rfam family: Bacterial small subunit ribosomal RNA
Source: RNAcentral